UGGGGAAUAUUGCACAAUGGGCGAAAGCCUGAUGCAGCGACGCCGCGUGAGGGAUGACGGCCUUCGGGUUGUAAACCUCUUUCGACAGGGACGAAGCGUAAGUGACGGUACCUGUAGAAGAAGCACCGGCCAACUACGUGCCAGCAGCCGCGGUAAUACGUAGGGUGCGAGCGUUGUCCGGAAUUACUGGGCGUAAAGAGCUUGUAGGCGGUUUGUCGCGUCGUCUGUGAAAACUCACAGCUCAACUGUGAGCUUGCAGGCGAUACGGGCAGACUUGAGUACUGCAGGGGAGACUGGAAUUCCUGGUGUAGCGGUGAAAUGCGCAGAUAUCAGGAGGAACACCGGUGGCGAAGGCGGGUCUCUGGGCAGUAACUGACGCUGAGAAGCGAAAGCGUGGGUAGCGAACAGGAUUAGAUACCCUGGUAGUCCACGCCGUAACGGUGGGUACUAGGUGUGGGUUUCCUUCCACGGGAUCCGUGCCGUAGCUAACGCAUUAAGUACCCCGCCUGGGGAGUACGGCCGCAAAGCU
RNAcentral lists this ribosomal RNA (529 nucleotides) under uncultured bacterium. RNAcentral describes it as "bacterial SSU rRNA". It matches the Rfam family "Bacterial small subunit ribosomal RNA", at positions 355 to 895 of the family's 1533-position model. The record is from RNAcentral.